CCUACGGGAGGCAGCAGUGAGGAAUAUUGGUCAAUGGGCGGGAGCCUGAACCAGCCAAGUCGCGUGAGGGAAGACGGUCCUAUGGAUUGUAAACCUCUUUAGGCGGGGAGCAAUGCCGGGCACGCGUGCCCGGAGGGAGAGUACCCGCAGAAUAAGCAUCGGCAAACUCCGUGCCAGCAGCCGCGGUAAUACGGAGGAUGCGAGCGUUAUCCGGAUUUAUGGGGUUAAAAGGGUGCGUAGGCGGAGUUUUAAGUCAGCGGUAAAAUGUCCGGGCUCAACCCGGGCCGGCCGUUGAAACUGGGGAUCUUGAGUGGGCGAGAAGUAUGCGGAAUGCGUGGUGUAGCGGUGAAAUGCAUAGAUAUCACGCAGAACUCCGAUUGCGAAGGCAGCAUACCGGCGCCCGACUGACGCUGAGGCACGAAAGCGUGGGGAUCGAACAGGAUUAGAUACCCCAGUAGUC
Molecule: ribosomal RNA, 460 nt
Filed under: uncultured bacterium
Lineage: Bacteria
Description: partial 16S ribosomal RNA
Rfam family: Bacterial small subunit ribosomal RNA
Source: RNAcentral